RNAcentral lists this ribosomal RNA (2791 nucleotides) under human gut metagenome. Its description in RNAcentral is "bacterial LSU rRNA". It matches the Rfam family "Bacterial large subunit ribosomal RNA". The record is from RNAcentral.
AUGUGUAUAAGAGACAGCCUUGGCACUAGGAGCCGAUGAAGGACGUGAUAAGCUGCGAUAAGCUUCGGGGAGUUGCACGUAAACUUUGAUCCGAAGAUUUCCGAAUGAGGAAACUCACUUAGAGUAAUGUCUAAGUAUCGUAUGAUGAAUACAUAGUCAUGCGAGGGGAACCCGGAGAACUGAAACAUCUAAGUACCCGGAGGAAGAGAAAGAAAUUCGAUUCCGUAAGUAGCGGCGAGCGAACGCGGAACAGGCCAAACCAGUGAAGUUUUCUUCGCUGGGGUUGCGGACAUAUCAUAACGAAGAGGUAUCGUAGAAGAAGAGAGUUGGAAAGCUCCGCCACAGAUGGUAACAGCCCAGUAUUUUAAACGAGAAGACUUUAGAUAUGAUCCAGAGUACCACGGGACACGUGAAACCCUGUGGGAAGCAGGAGGGACCAUCCUCCAAGCCUAAAUACUACCUAGUGACCGAUAGCGCAUAGUACCGUGAGGGAAAGGUGAAAAGAACCCCGGGAGGGGAGUGAAAUAGAACCUGAAACCCUGCACUUACAAGCUGUGGGAGCACAUUACUUGUGUGACCGCGUACUUUUUGUAGAACGGGCCAACGAGUUACGUUAAGUAGCAAGGUUAAGCACUUAAGGUGUGGAGCCGUAGCGAAAGCGAGUCUUAAAUGGGCGUCCAGUUACCCGACGUAGACCCGAAACCAGGCGACCUAUCCAUGAGCAGGUUGAAGCGAAAGUAAAAUUUCGUGGAGGACCGAACCCACGUACGUUGAAAAGUGCGGGGAUGACUUGUGGAUAGCGGUGAAAUUCCAAUCGAGCCUGGAGAUAGCUGGUUCUCCCCGAAAUAGCUUUAGGGCUAGCCUCAAGCUUAGAGAAACGGAGGUAGAGCACUGAAUGUCCUAGGGGGUAUUGCACUUACCGAAGACUAUCAAACUCCGAAUGCCGUAUUCUUUUGCUUGGGAGUCAGACUAUGGGUGAUAAGAUUCAUAGUCAAGAGGGCAACAGCCCAGAUCGUCAGCUAAGGUCCCUAAAUGUAAGUUAAGUGGUAAAGGAUGUGGAAUUGCACAGACAACCAGGAUGUUGGCUUAGAAGCAGCCACUCAUUUAAAGAGUGCGUAAUAGCUCACUGGUCGAGUGAUUCUGCGCCGAAAAUUUCCGGGGCUAAAACUUACUACCGAAGCUACGGCAUCAUUAUGAUGGGUAGGGGAGCUUUCUAUGCGGCUUGAAGCAUGACCGUAAGGACAUGUGGACUGCAUAGAAGUGAGAAUGUUGGCAUGAGUAGCGAGAUGUGGGUGAGAAUCCCACAGGCCGUAAACCCAAGGUUUCCAGGGGAAGGUUCGUCCGCCCUGGGUUAGUCAGGACCUAAGCCGAGGCCGAAAGGCGUAGGUGAUGGACAACAGGUUGAUAUUCCUGUACCGCCAAUAAGCGUUUGAGAGAUGGAGUGACACAGUAGGAUAAGCUAACCGUACUGUUGGUUAUGUACGGCUAAGCAUUGAGGCAGUCUAAAUAGGCAAAUCCGUUUAGACAAUGCUAGGAUGUGAUGGGGAAGCCCUCCGGGGCGAAGUAGCUGAUUUCACACUGUCGAGAAAAGUCUCUAUCGAGGUUAAAGGUGCCUGUACCGCAAACCGACACAGGUGGGUGAGGAGAGUAUCCUAAGGCCAGCGAGAGAACUGUUGUUAAGGAACUCGGCAAAAUGACCCCGUAACUUAGGGAGAAGGGGUGCCUUCGAAAGAAGGCCGCAGAGAAUAGGCCCAAGCGACUGUUUACCAAAAACAUAGGUUUCUGCUAAGUCGCAAGACGAUGUAUAGGAGCUGACGCCUGCCCGGUGCUGGAAGGUUAAGGGGAUCUGUUAGAGCAAUCGAAGCAGUGAACUUAAGCCCCAGUAAACGGCGGCCGUAACUAUAACGGUCCUAAGGUAGCGAAAUUCCUUGUCGGGUAAGUUCCGACCCGCACGAAAGGCGUAACGAUUUGGGCACUGUCUCAACAACAGACUCGGUGAAAUUGUAAUACCGGUGAAGAUGCCGGUUACCUGCGACAGGACGGAAAGACCCCAUGGAGCUUUACUGUAGCUUGACAUUGAGUCUCGGUGCUACAUGUACAGGAUAGGUGGGAGACUAUGAAGCAUGGACGUCAGUCUGUGUGGAGUCAUCCUUGGGAUACCACCCUUGUAGUACUGGGAUUCUAACCAGAGGCCAUGAAUCUGGUCUUGGGACACUGUCAGGUGGACAGUUUGACUGGGGCGGUCGCCUCCCAAAAAGUAACGGAGGCGCUCAAAGGUUCUCUCAGUACGGUCGGAAAUCGUACGAAGAGUGUAAAGGCAAAAGAGAGCUUGAUUGCAAGACAUACAGGUCGAGCAAGGACGAAAGUCGGACUUAGUGAUCCGGUGGUUCCGCAUGGAAGGGCCAUCGCUCAACGGAUAAAAGCUACCCUGGGGAUAACAGGCUUAUCUCCCCCAAGAGUUCACAUCGACGGGGAGGUUUGGCACCUCGAUGUCGGCUCAUCGCAUCCUGGAGCUGAAGUCGGUUCCAAGGGUUGGGCUGUUCGCCCAUUAAAGCGGUACGCGAGCUGGGUUCAGAACGUCGCGAGACAGUUCGGUCCCUAUCUAUCACGGGCGUAGGAAAUUUGAGGAGAGCUGACCUUAGUACGAGAGGACCGGGUUGGACGUACCGCUGGUGCACCUGUUGUUCUGCCAAGGGCAUAGCAGGGUAGCUAAGUACGGACGGGAUAAACGCUGAAGGCAUCUAAGCGUGAAGCCCCCUUCGAGAUAAGAUUUCCCAUAGCGUAGGCUAGU